RNAcentral lists this ribosomal RNA (400 nucleotides) under uncultured bacterium. Its description in RNAcentral is "bacterial SSU rRNA". It matches the Rfam family "Bacterial small subunit ribosomal RNA", at positions 355 to 772 of the family's 1533-position model. The record is from RNAcentral.
UGGGGAAUAUUGGACAAUGGGCGAAAGCCUGAUCCAGCAAUGCCGCGUGAGUGAAGAAGGCCUUCGGGUUGUAAAGCUCUUUUACCCGGGAAGAUAAUGACUGUACCGGGAGAAUAAGCUCCGGCUAACUCCGUGCCAGCAGCCGCGGUAAUACGGAGGGAGCUAGCGUUGUUCGGAAUUACUGGGCGUAAAGCGUACGUAGGCGGCUUUGUAAGUCAGAGGUGAAAGCCCACGACUCAAUCGUGGAACUGCCUUUGAGACUGCUUCGCUUGAAGAUGGGAGAGGUUAGUGGAAUUCCGAGUGUAGAGGUGAAAUUCGUAGAUAUUCGGAAGAACACCAGUGGCGAAGGCGGCUAACUGGACCAUUCUUGACGCUGAGGUACGAAAGCGUGGGGAGCAAA